AAAAGGUAACAAAAACUAGCCUUCCCAAAUCAAAAAGCAAGUUCAUUGCAAAUAUGAAACCAUCAUAUCAUGGAUUGAUGCCAGUUUUCUAAAGUUAAACACACUUUUUAAUCAGAACAAUAUGGAUGACAUUCAAAGCCCACCUCCUCCAGAAGAAGACUAGGACCGGCCAAUCUCAUGAUGCCUUCUAUGGCUCAUCUAACUGGUCC
Molecule: unclassified non-coding RNA, 209 nt
Filed under: Hevea brasiliensis (rubber tree)
Lineage: Eukaryota; Viridiplantae; Streptophyta; Magnoliopsida; Malpighiales; Euphorbiaceae
Source: RNAcentral